GAUGAAGAACGCAGCGAAAUGCGAUAAGUAGUGUGAAUUGCAGAAUUCAGUGAAUCAUCGAAUCUUUGAACGCACAUUGCGCCCUUUGGUAUUCCUUAGGGCAUGCCUGUUCGAGCGUCAUUUCAACCCUCAAGCCCUGCUUGGUGUUGGACGGUUUGGCGGAGGCCCUCCGGGGCCCUUGCCCCUCCCAAAGACAAUGACGGCUGCCUCGUUGGACCCCCGGUACACUGAGUUCUUUACGGGACACGUACUGGAGUAAGGGUGCACGGGGCACGGUCUGCCUCCCCUCAGGGAGAAUCUUUUUUUACAAGGUUGACCUCGGAUCAGGUAGGGAUACCCGCUGAACUUAAGCAUAUCAAUAAGCGGAGGA
RNAcentral lists this unclassified non-coding RNA (370 nucleotides) under soil metagenome. Its description in RNAcentral is "partial contains 5.8S ribosomal RNA, internal transcribed spacer 2, and large subunit ribosomal RNA". The stretch from base 1 to 120 matches the Rfam family "5.8S ribosomal RNA", at positions 35 to 154 of the family's 154-position model. The record is from RNAcentral.